GCGGUGUGGUAGGUAAUUGCUUUUAUAUAAAAGAGGAAAGUCCGAGCUACAUAAGACUAGGAUUCCAUUUAACAAAUGGCUAGGGCAACCUAAGGGAAAGUGCAACAGAAAUAUACCGCCAUUUUAAAUUUGCCAGAUAAACUCCUACGUAGAUUCUAUAAUGGUAAGGGUGAAAAGGCAGGGUAAGAGCCUACCGACUUUUUGGCAACAAUAAGUGCUAUGCAAACCCAAUCCGUAGCAAGAAUAGCAGGUUAGAAAGUCUUAAAUUUUUAGCUAUUCGCUUAAGCAAUAUUGCGAAAUAUUGCAUAGAUAAAUAAUUACCUAAACAGAACUCGGCUUACAGCCACACCGAUUAA
RNAcentral lists this RNase P RNA (356 nucleotides) under Helicobacter saguini. RNAcentral describes it as "Bacterial RNase P class A". It matches the Rfam family "Bacterial RNase P class A". Rfam says of the family: Ribonuclease P (RNase P) is a ubiquitous endoribonuclease, found in archaea, bacteria and eukarya as well as chloroplasts and mitochondria. Its best characterised activity is the generation of mature 5'-ends of tRNAs by cleaving the 5'-leader elements of precursor-tRNAs. Cellular RNase Ps are ribonucleoproteins. Lineage: Bacteria; Pseudomonadati; Campylobacterota; Epsilonproteobacteria; Campylobacterales; Helicobacteraceae. The record is from Rfam by way of RNAcentral.